AUACGUAGGUGGCAAGCGUUGUCCGGAUUUACUGGGCGUAAAGGGAGCGUAGGCGGACUUUUAAGUGAGAUGUGAAAUACCCGGGCUCAACCUGGGUGCUGCAUUUCAAACUGGAAGUCUAGAGUGCAGGAGAGGAGAGUGGAAUUCCUAGUGUAGCGGUGAAAUGCGUAGAGAUUAGGAAGAACACCAGUGGCGAAGGCGACUCUUGGGACUGUAACUACCGCAGAGGCUCGAAAGCGGGGGGAGCAAACAGGAUUAGAAACCCUGUAAGUCCACGCCGUAAACGAUGAAUACUAGGUGUAGGGGUUGUCAUGACCUCUGUGCCGCCGCUAACGCAUUAAGUAUUCCGCCUGGGGAGUACGGCCGCAAGGUUGAAACUCAAAUGAAUUGACGGGG
Molecule: ribosomal RNA, 396 nt
Filed under: uncultured bacterium
Lineage: Bacteria
Description: partial 16S ribosomal RNA
Rfam family: Bacterial small subunit ribosomal RNA
Source: RNAcentral